CACGUAGGGCGCAAGCGUUGUCCGGAAUCACUGGGCGUAAAGCGCACGUAGGCGGCUUUUUAAGUCAGGGGUGAAAUCCUGGAGCUCAACUCCAGAACUGCCUUUGAUACUGAGAGGCUUGAGUCCGGGAGAGGUGAGUGGAACUGCGAGUGUAGAGGUGAAAUUCGUAGAUAUUCGCAAGAACACCAGUGGCGAAGGCGGCUCACUGGCCCGGUACUGACGCUGAGGUGCGAAAGCGUGGGGAGCAAACAGG
RNAcentral lists this ribosomal RNA (253 nucleotides) under uncultured bacterium. RNAcentral describes it as "partial 16S ribosomal RNA". It matches the Rfam family "Bacterial small subunit ribosomal RNA", at positions 524 to 776 of the family's 1533-position model. The record is from RNAcentral.